CUCACAUCAGAUUCCCUGGUGUACGAAUUUUAAGUGCUUCUUGCGAGAGCAAGUUUGUCCCGGCCGUUUCGGCGGCCGGGAUG
This 83-nucleotide non-coding RNA is filed under the name Kosakonia sacchari. Its description in RNAcentral is "DsrA RNA". It matches the Rfam family "DsrA RNA". From Rfam's summary of the family: DsrA RNA regulates both transcription, by overcoming transcriptional silencing by the nucleoid-associated H-NS protein, and translation, by promoting efficient translation of the stress sigma factor, RpoS. These two activities of DsrA can be separated by mutation: the first of three stem-loops of the 85 nucleotide RNA is necessary for RpoS translation but not for anti-H-NS action, while the second stem-loop is essential for antisilencing and less critical for RpoS translation. The third stem-loop, which behaves as a transcription terminator, can be substituted by the trp transcription terminator without loss of either DsrA function. Lineage: Bacteria; Pseudomonadati; Pseudomonadota; Gammaproteobacteria; Enterobacterales; Enterobacteriaceae. The record is from RNAcentral.